RNAcentral lists this ribosomal RNA (520 nucleotides) under uncultured Glomus. RNAcentral describes it as "SSU rRNA". It matches the Rfam family "Eukaryotic small subunit ribosomal RNA", at positions 569 to 1091 of the family's 1831-position model. Lineage: Eukaryota; Fungi; Glomeromycota; Glomeromycetes; Glomerales; Glomeraceae. The record is from RNAcentral.
AGCAGCCGCGGUAAUUCCAGCUCCAAUAGCGUAUAUUAAAGUUGUUGCAGUUAAAAAGCUCGUAGUUGAAUUUCGGGGUCAGUAGGUUGGUCGUGCCACUGGUAUGCACUGGCCUCACUGAUUCCUCCCUCUUGUAGAACCGUAAUGCCAUUAAGUUGGUGUUGCGGGGAAACAGGACUGUUACUUUGAAAAAAUUAGAGUGUUUAAAGCAGGCUAACGCUUGAAUACAUUAGCAUGGAAUAAUGAAAUAGGACGAUCGAUCCUAUUUUGUUGGUUUCUAGGAUUGACGUAAUGAUUAAUAGGGAUAGUUGGGGGCAUUAGUAUUCAAUUGUCAGAGGUGAAAUUCUUGGAUUUAUUGAAGACUAACUACUGCGAAAGCAUUUGUCAAGGAUGUUUUCAUUAAUCAAGAACGAAAGUUAGGGGAUCGAAGACGAUCAGAUACCGUCGUAGUCUUAACCAUAAACUAUGCCGACUAGGGAUCGGAUGAUGUUAAUUUUUAAUGACUCAUUCGGCGCCUUAC